This 290-nucleotide long non-coding RNA is filed under the name Eucalyptus grandis. RNAcentral's name for it is "long non-coding RNA (EGRA_LNC006724)". The record is from RNAcentral. Lineage: Eukaryota; Viridiplantae; Streptophyta; Magnoliopsida; Myrtales; Myrtaceae.
AAUUACGUAGGGCACACCCUGGAGUGAAAGGCGUGGGCUCACAACGUUAGGUUGAUGGAAGAGGAGACCAUAUUAGCAAGUAUGGACUGCAUUUUCAUCCGGUGCUGAAGCUUCAUCAUCAUAAGUCCUAUAUCUUCAGUCUCAUCUCCUCCAUCAUACUCCGAUGCUUCCACUGCUUCAGGCUCCACACAGCCCAAGUACGUGCGGUAAUCGUUAGCCCGAGCAAUGGUAGCGCCAGCAACCCUGGCGAUGCUUCCCCAGUACCUGUUGCUAGUCAGGCUCCGCUCUUG